RNAcentral lists this ribosomal RNA (498 nucleotides) under uncultured bacterium. Its description in RNAcentral is "partial 16S ribosomal RNA". It matches the Rfam family "Bacterial small subunit ribosomal RNA", at positions 30 to 523 of the family's 1533-position model. The record is from RNAcentral.
AUUGAACGCUGGCGGCAUGCCUUACACAUGCAAGUCGAACGGUAACAGGUCUUCGGAUGCUGACGAGUGGCGAACGGGUGAGUAAUACAUCGGAACGUGCCUAGUAGUGGGGGAUAACUACUCGAAAGAGUGGCUAAUACCGCAUGAGAUCUACGGAUGAAAGCAGGGGAUCGCAAGACCUUGUGCUACUAGAGCGGCCGAUGGCAGAUUAGGUAGUUGGUGGGAUAAAAGCUUACCAAGCCGACGAUCUGUAGCUGGUCUGAGAGGACGAUCAGCCACACUGGGACUGAGAAACGGCCCAGACUCCUACGGGAGGCAGCAGUGGGGAGUUUUGGACAAUGGGCGCAAGCCUGAUCCAGCAAUGCCGCGUGCAGGAUGAAGGCCUUCGGGUUGUAAACUGCUUUUGAACGGAACGAAAAGCCCCGGGUUAAUACCCUGGGGUCAUGACGGUACCGUAAGAAUAAGCACCGGCUAACUACGUGCCAGCCGCCGCGGUAA